This 504-nucleotide ribosomal RNA is filed under the name Janetia sp. Jansp118. RNAcentral's name for it is "partial large subunit ribosomal RNA". The record is from RNAcentral. Lineage: Eukaryota; Metazoa; Arthropoda; Insecta; Diptera; Cecidomyiidae.
CGCCUGUUUAUUAAAAACAUGGUUUUUAUUUUUUAUUAAAAAUUGGACCUGCCCAUUGAUUUUUUUUUAAAAGGCCGCAGUAUUUUGACUGUGCUAAGGUAGCAUAAUCAUUAGUUUUUUAAUUAAAAUCUAGAAUGAAUGGUUUAAUGAGAUAAAUUCUUUUUUAAUUUAAAAUUUGUAAUUUUAUUUUUUAGUAAAAAAGCUAAAAUUAUUAAAAGGGACGAGAAGACCCUAUAGAAUUUUAUAAUAAAUUAUUAAUUUUAAAUUUAUUAAUUUUAUUAUUAUUUAUAAAUUAUUUUAUUGGGGCGAUAGUUAAAUUUUUUUAACUUUUUAUUUUUUAAUCAUUAAUAAGUGUUUAUUUGUUGAUCUUUUUUUAAUGAUUAAAAAAAUAAAUUACCUUAGGGAUAACAGCAUAAUUUUAUUAAAAAGUUCUUAUUUUUAAUAAGGUUUAUGACCUCGAUGUUGGAUUAAAUAAAUUUUUAUAUUAGAUAUAUAAAAAAUAAG